CGCUGGCGGCGUGCCUAAUACAUGCAAGUCGAGCGAACGGACGAGAAGCUUGCUUCUCUGAUGUUAGCGGCGGACGGGUGAGUAACUCGUGGAUAACCUACCUAUAAGACUGGGAUAACUUCGGGAAACCGGAGCUAAUACCGGAUAAUAUUUUGAACCGCAUGGUUCAAAAGUGAAAGACGGUCUUGCUGUCACUUAUAGAUGGAUCCGCGCUGCAUUAGCUAGUUGGUAAGGUAACGGCUUACCAAGGCAACGAUGCAUAGCCGACCUGAGAGGGUGAUCGGCCACACUGGAACUGAGACACGGUCCAGACUCCUACGGGAGGCAGCAGUAGGGAAUCUUCCGCAAUGGGCGAAAGCCUGACGGAGCAACGCCGCGUGAGUGAUGAAGGUCUUCGGAUCGUAAAACUCUGUUAUUAGGGAAGAACAUAUGUGUAAGUAACUGUGCACAUCUUGACGGUACCUAAUCAGAAAGCCACGGCUAACUACGUGCCAGCAGCCGCGGUAAUACGUAGGUGGCAAGCGUUAUCCGGAAUUAUUGGGCGUAAAGCGCGCGUAGGCGGUUUUUUAAGUCUGAUGUGAAAGCCCACGGCUCAACCGUGGAGGGUCAUUGGAAACUGGAAAACUUGAGUGCAGAAGAGGAAAGUGGAAUUCCAUGUGUAGCGGUGAAAUGCGCAGAGAUAUGGAGGAACACCAGUGGCGAAAGCGACUUUCUGGUCUGUAACUGACGCUGAUGUGCGAAAGCGUGGGGAUCAAACAGGAUUAGAUACCC
This 771-nucleotide ribosomal RNA is filed under the name uncultured Staphylococcus sp. RNAcentral describes it as "bacterial SSU rRNA". It matches the Rfam family "Bacterial small subunit ribosomal RNA", at positions 34 to 787 of the family's 1533-position model. The record is from RNAcentral. Lineage: Bacteria; Bacillati; Bacillota; Bacilli; Caryophanales; Staphylococcaceae.